CCUACGGGAGGCAGCAGUGAGGAAUAUUGGUCAAUGGACGAGAGUCUGAACCAGCCAAGUAGCGUGAAGGAUGACUGCCCUAUGGGUUGUAAACUUCUUUUAUGUGGGAAUAAAAUGUUCCACGUGUGGGCUUUUGUAUGUACCAUAUGAAUAAGGAUCGGCUAACUCCGUGCCAGCAGCCGCGGUAAUACGGAGGGUCCGGGCGUUAUCCGGAUUUAUUGGGUUUAAAGGGAGCGUAGGGGGAUUGUUAAGCCAGUUGUGAAAGUUUGCGGCUCAACCGUAAAAUUGCAGUUGAAACUGGCAGUCUUGAGUACAGGAGAGGUAUGCGGAAUUCGUGGUGUAGCGGUGAAAUGCUUAGAUAUCACGAAGAACUCCGAUUGCGAAGGCAGCAUACUGGACCGCAACUGACGCUGAAGCUCGAAAGUGUGGGUAUCAAACAGGAUUAGAUACCCGUGUAGUC
RNAcentral lists this ribosomal RNA (460 nucleotides) under uncultured bacterium. RNAcentral's name for it is "partial 16S ribosomal RNA". It matches the Rfam family "Bacterial small subunit ribosomal RNA", at positions 338 to 795 of the family's 1533-position model. The record is from RNAcentral.